Molecule: long non-coding RNA, 179 nt
Organism: Trematomus bernacchii (emerald rockcod)
Lineage: Eukaryota; Metazoa; Chordata; Actinopteri; Perciformes; Nototheniidae
Exons: 3
Source: RefSeq, a predicted model, not a curated record
CUCCAAUCAGGCUGGCUGCAGUCGUAACACUGAUCCCCCCGUUGAUGCUCCUGACCCUGACUGUGAUCUGGUCUUUGCUCCAGCUAUCGCUCCAGAGACUGUUGAGGGGUUUCUACGAGAUCUCCAGCAGUCUCUGAGCGAUACUACAGGAGAUGAGGUGGUAGCACAAACCCCAAGUG